GGGGCUAUAGCUCAGUUGGUAGAGCGCUUCCAUGGCAUGGAAGAGGUCAGGGGUUCGAUUCCCCUUAGCUCCA
RNAcentral lists this transfer RNA (73 nucleotides) under Iamia majanohamensis. RNAcentral's name for it is "tRNA-Ala". It matches the Rfam family "tRNA". From Rfam's summary of the family: Transfer RNA (tRNA) molecules are approximately 80 nucleotides in length. Lineage: Bacteria; Bacillati; Actinomycetota; Acidimicrobiia; Acidimicrobiales; Iamiaceae. The record is from RNAcentral. RNAcentral also lists the same sequence under 21 other names.